AAUCCAUAGGUUAAUGAGGCGAACCGGGGGAACUGAAACAUCUAAGUACCCCGAGGAAAAGAAAUCAACCGAGAUUCCCCCAGUAGCGGCGAGCGAACGGGGAGGAGCCCAGAGCCUGAAUCAGCAUGUGUGUUAGUGGAAGCGUCUGGAAAGGCGCGCGAUACAGGGUGACAGCCCCGUACACAAAAGCGCAUGUGCUGUGAGCUCGAUGAGUAGGGCGGGACACGUGGUAUCCUGUCUGAAUAUGGGGGGACCAUCCUCCAAGGCUAAAUACUCCUGACUGACCGAUAGUGAACCAGUACCGUGAGGGAAAGGCGAAAAGAACCCCGGCGAGGGGAGUGAAAAAGAACCUGAAACCGUGUACGUACAAGCAGUGGGAGCACCCUUUGGGUGUGACUGCGUACCUUUUGUAUAAUGGGUCAGCGACUUAUAUUCUGUAGCAAGGUUAACCGAAUAGGGGAGCCGGAGGGAAACCGAGUCUUAACCGGGCGUUAAGUUGCAGGGUAUAGACCCGAAACCCGGUGAUCUAGCCAUGGGCAGGUUGAAGGUUGGGUAACACUAACUGGAGGACCGAACCGACUAAUGUUGAAAAAUUAGCGGAUGACCUGUGGCUGGGGGUGAAAGGCCAAUCAAACCGGGAGAUAGCUGGUUCUCCCCGAAAGCUAUUUAGGUAGCGCCUCGUGAAUUCAUCUCCGGGGGUAGAGCACUGUUUCGGCUAGGGGGCCAUCCCGGCUUACCAACCCGAUGCAAACUGCGAAUACCGGAGAAUGUUAUCACGGGAGACACACGGCGGGUGCUAACGUCCGUCGUGAAGAGGGAAACAACCCAGACCGCCAGCUAAGGUCCCAAAGUCAUGGUUAAGUGGGAAACGAUGUGGGAAGGCCCAGACAGCCAGGAUGUUGGCUUAGAAGCAGCCAUCAUUUAAAGAAAGCGUAAUAGCUCACUGGUCGAGUCGGCCUGCGCGGAAGAUGUAACGGGGCUAAACCAUGCACCGAAGCUGCGGCAGCGACACUGUGUGUUGUUGGGUAGGGGAGCGUUCUGUAAGCCUGUGAAGGUGUGUCGUGAGGCAUGCUGGAGGUAUCAGAAGUGCGAAUGCUGACAUAAGUAACGAUAAAGCGGGUGAAA
This 1125-nucleotide ribosomal RNA is filed under the name Salmonella enterica subsp. enterica serovar Enteritidis. RNAcentral describes it as "partial 23S ribosomal RNA". It matches the Rfam family "Bacterial large subunit ribosomal RNA", at positions 161 to 1326 of the family's 2925-position model. The record is from RNAcentral. Lineage: Bacteria; Pseudomonadati; Pseudomonadota; Gammaproteobacteria; Enterobacterales; Enterobacteriaceae.